UCCCUGGUAGCUCAGAUGGUAAAGCAUCUGCCUGCAGUGCAGGAGACCUGGGUUCGAUCCCUGGGUUGGGAA
This 72-nucleotide transfer RNA is filed under the name Bos taurus (domestic cattle). It matches the Rfam family "tRNA". From Rfam's summary of the family: Transfer RNA (tRNA) molecules are approximately 80 nucleotides in length. Lineage: Eukaryota; Metazoa; Chordata; Mammalia; Artiodactyla; Bovidae. The record is from Rfam by way of RNAcentral. RNAcentral also lists the same sequence under 1 other name.